UAGGGGAAAAACAGGGUUUUCUGUGAAAAUAAGCGAUAUUUUAGGGGAAAAACAGGGAUUUCUAUGAAAAUAAGCGAUAUUUUUGGGGAAAAACAGGGAUUUCUAUGAAAAUAAGCGAUAUUUUUGGGGAAAAACAGGGAUUUCUAUGAAAAUAAGCGAUAUUUUUGGGGAAAAACAGGGAUUUCUAUGAAAAUAAGCGAUAUUUUUGGUUAAAAACAGGGAUUACUGUGAAAAUAAGCGAUAUUUUAGGUUAAAAACAGGGAUUUCUAUGAAAAUAAGCGAUAUUUUAGGGGAAAAACAGGGAUUUCUAUGAAAAUAAGCGAUAUUUUAGGGGAAAAACAGGGAUUUCUUUGAAAAUAAGUGAUACUUUAGGGGAAA
Tympanuchus pallidicinctus (lesser prairie-chicken) is the source of this 378-nucleotide long non-coding RNA. RefSeq lists it as uncharacterized. The transcript has 4 exons. The record is from RefSeq and is a predicted model, not a curated record. NCBI's taxonomy places the organism in Eukaryota, Metazoa, Chordata, Aves, Galliformes, Phasianidae.